This 879-nucleotide ribosomal RNA is filed under the name Pseudomonas sp. P2(2015c). RNAcentral's name for it is "bacterial SSU rRNA". It matches the Rfam family "Bacterial small subunit ribosomal RNA", at positions 28 to 897 of the family's 1533-position model. The record is from RNAcentral. Lineage: Bacteria; Pseudomonadati; Pseudomonadota; Gammaproteobacteria; Pseudomonadales; Pseudomonadaceae.
AAUAAAGGGGGGGGCAGCUAACCCCUGCAAGUCGAGCGGCAGCACGAGAAGCUUGCUUACCGGGAGAGCGGCGGACGGGGGAGUAAAGCCUAGGAAUCUGCCUGGUAGGGGGGGGAUAACGCUCGGAAACGGACGCUAAUACCGCAUACGUCCUACGGGAGAAAGCAGGGGACCUUCGGGCCUUGCGCUAUCAGAUGAGCCUAGGUCGGAUUAGCUAGUUGGUGAGGUAACGGCUCACCAAGGCGACGAUCCGUAACUGGUCUGAGAGGAUGAUCAGUCACACUGGAACUGAGACACGGUCCAGACUCCUACGGGAGGCAGCAGUGGGGAAUAUUGGACAAUGGGCGAAAGCCUGAUCCAGCCAUGCCGCGUGUGUGAAGAAGGUCUUCGGAUUGUAAAGCACUUUAAGUUGGGAGGAAGGGCAGUAAACUAAUACGUUACUGUUUUGACGUUACCGACAGAAUAAGCACCGGCUAACUCUGUGCCAGCAGCCGCGGUAAUACAGAGGGUGCAAGCGUUAAUCGGAAUUACUGGGCGUAAAGCGCGCGUAGGUGGUUCGUUAAGUUGGAUGUGAAAUCCCCGGGCUCAACCUGGGAACUGCAUUCAAAACUGUCGAGCUAGAGUAUGGUAGAGGGUGGUGGAAUUUCCUGUGUAGCGGUGAAAUGCGUAAAUAUAGGAAGGAACACCAGUGGCGAAGGCGACCACCUGGACCAAUACUGACACUGAGGUGCGAAAGCGUGGGGAGCAAAAAGGAUUAAAUACCCUGGUAGUCCAAGCCCUAAACAAUUGUCAACUAGCCGUUGGGAGCCUUGAAACUCUUAGUGGCCCAACUAACGAAUUAAGUUGACCGCCCGGGGGGGUACCGGCCCCCAAGGUUAA